This is a non-coding RNA of Odocoileus virginianus texanus, 627 nucleotides long. Lineage: Eukaryota; Metazoa; Chordata; Mammalia; Artiodactyla; Cervidae. The record is from RefSeq and is a predicted model, not a curated record.
CUAUCGACAGAGAAGUCUGGCGGGUUCCAGUCCAUAGGGUCACGAAGAGUCGGACACGACUGAGCGAUUAACACUGUAACUCAACAUCAUUACACGAGAGUGAUCAACAUUUGAGUCCGAGUGCCAGUCACUGAGCCAGCAAAUUCUCUGUGCUAAGUCCUGGACACAGAAUCAGACUGGGUACGCUCUGAGAGGCUCACGUCGGGUGGGAGAAGUCAGAGCCGGAAACAAGGAAGUGUUCCGCAAACGGCUAACGGAUCUUCUUUGUGGCGUGCAAGUUUCUCUAGUUGCAGAUGUGGGAUCUUAGUUCCCUGACCAGGGAUUAAACCCAUGUCCUCUGCAUUGGAAGGUAGAUUGUUAACCACUGGACCACCAAUGGACUCCUGUAUCAGAUGAUCCCUAAAGAUACUUCUACUUCUGAUUUAUGAAGACUCAGCUACUUGUCUCUCAAGGCCUACAUACUACUGCCCCAAAGGGCAGUGAGCAGAGGCUUCUGAGAUCAUUUCAGGAGAAUGAAACAAACAAGAUAAUACAUCAACUACAAACAAACUCAAGAUUCUUGGGAAGUGGGGCUUGACAUGAACAGAGCUGAAGAGCCCAGGAUGACUAUUAAAUAUAACUAAUGGC